GACAGAGGGUGCAAACGUUGUUCGGAAUUACUGGGCAUAAAGCGCACGUAGGUGGUCCGCUAAGUCGCGUGUGAAAUCCCCCGGCUCAACCGGGGAAAUGCGCGUGAUACUGGCGGGCUUGAGAUCGGGAGGGGUGAAUGGAACUCCAGGUGGAGCGGUGAAAUGCGUAGAUAUCUGGAGGAACACCGGAGGCGAAAGCGGGUCUCUGGGCAACAACUGACGCUGAGGAGCGAAAGCGUGGGGAGCGAACAGG
This 253-nucleotide ribosomal RNA is filed under the name uncultured bacterium. RNAcentral describes it as "partial 16S ribosomal RNA". It matches the Rfam family "Bacterial small subunit ribosomal RNA", at positions 524 to 776 of the family's 1533-position model. The record is from RNAcentral.